GACGAACGCUGGCGGCGUGCCUAAUACAUGCAAGUAGAACGCAGUUGCGAACGGGUGAGUAACGCGUAGGUGACUGCCUCAUAGCGGGGGAUAACUAUUGGAAACGAUAGCUAAUACCUCAUACUGUGAGAUGGACCUGCGUUGUAUUAGCUAGUUGGUGAGGUAAAGGCGCACAAAGGCGACGAUACAUAGCCGACCUGAGAGGCUUCACAGCCAAACUGGAACUCAGACACGGUCCAGACUCCUACGGGAGGCAGCAGUGUGGAAUAGUGCACAAUGGGCGCAAGCCUGAUGCAGCCAUGCGGCGUGUAUGAAGAAGGCGUUUGGGUUGUAAAGUACUUUCAGCGAGGAGCGUUACUCGCAGAAGAAGCACCGGCUAACUCCGUGCCAGCAGCCGCGGUAAUAC
This 406-nucleotide ribosomal RNA is filed under the name uncultured bacterium. RNAcentral describes it as "partial 16S ribosomal RNA". It matches the Rfam family "Bacterial small subunit ribosomal RNA", at positions 28 to 526 of the family's 1533-position model. The record is from RNAcentral.